ACGCUAGCUACAGGCUUAACACAUGCAAGUCGAGGGGCAGCAUUUCAGUUUGCUUGCAAACUGGAGAUGGCGACCGGCGCACGGGUGAGUAACACGUAUCCAACCUGCCGAUAACUCGGGGAUAGCCUUUCGAAAGAAAGAUUAAUACCCGAUGGUAUAAUCAGACCGCAUGGUCUUGUUAUUAAAGAAUUUCGGUUAUCGAUGGGGAUGCGUUCCAUUAGGCAGUUGGUGAGGUAACGGCUCACCAAACCUUCGAUGGAUAGGGGUUCUGAGAGGAAGGUCCCCCACAUUGGAACUGAGACACGGUCCAAACUCCUACGGGAGGCAGCAGUGAGGAAUAUUGGUCAAUGGGCGCAGGCCUGAACCAGCCAAGUAGCGUGAAGGAUGACUGCCCUAUGGGUUGUAAACUUCUUUUAUAUGGGAAUAAAGUUUUCCACGUGUGGAAUUUUGUAUGUACCAUAUGAAUAAGGAUCGGCUAACUCCGUGCCAGCAGCCGCGGUAAUACGGAGGAUCCGAGCGUUAUCCGGAUUUAUUGGGUUUAAAGGGAGCGUAGGUGGACAGUUAAGUCAGUUGUGAAAGUUUGCGGCUCAACCGUAAAAUUGCAGUUGAUACUGGCUGUCUUGAGUACAGUAGAGGUGGGCGGAAUUCGUGGUGUAGCGGUGAAAUGCUUAGAUAUCACGAAGAACUCCGAUUGCGAAGGCAGCUCACUGGACUGCAACUGACACUGAUGCUCGAAAGUGUGGGUAUCAAACAGGAUUAGAUACCCUGGUAGUCCACACAGUAAACGAUGAAUACUCGCUGUUUGCGAUAUACAGUAAGCGGCCAAGCGAAAGCAUUAAGUAUUCCACCUGGGGAGUACGCCGGCAACGGUGAAACUCAAAGGAAUUGACGGGGGCCCGCACAAGCGGAGGAACAUGUGGUUUAAUUCGAUGAUACGCGAGGAACCUUACCCGGGCUUAAAUUGCAUUUGAAUAUAUUGGAAACAGUAUAGCCGUAAGGCAAAUGUGAAGGUGCUGCAUGGUUGUCGUCAGCUCGUGCCGUGAGGUGUCGGCUUAAGUGCCAUAACGAGCGCAACCCUUAUCUUUAGUUUCUAACAGGUCAUGCUGAGGACUCUAGAGAGACUGCCGUCGUAAGAUGUGAGGAAGGUGGGGAUGACGUCAAAUCAGCACGGCCCUUACGUCCGGGGCUACACACGUGUUACAAUGGGGGGUACAGAAGGCAGCUACCUGGUGACAGGAUGCUAAUCCCAAAAGCCUCUCUCAGUUCGGAUCGAAGUCUGCAACCCGACUUCGUGAAGCUGGAUUCGCUAGUAAUCGCGCAUCAGCCAUGGCGCGGUGAAUACGUUCCCGGGCCUUGUACACACCGCCCGUCAAGCCAUGAAAGCCGGGGGUACCUGAAGUACGUAACCGCAAGGAGCGUCCUAGGGUAAAACUGGUAAUU
RNAcentral lists this ribosomal RNA (1440 nucleotides) under uncultured organism. Its description in RNAcentral is "SSU rRNA". It matches the Rfam family "Bacterial small subunit ribosomal RNA". The record is from RNAcentral.